AUACGGAGGAUGCGAGCGCUAUCCGGAUUUAUUGGGUUUAAAGGGUGCGUAGGCUGUGCGUUAAGUCAGGGGUGAAAUGCCGUCGCUCAACGACGGAGCUGCCCUUGAUACUGGCGUGCUGGAGUACGGAUGCCGUUGGAGGAAUGAGUGGUGUAGCGGUGAAAUGCUUAGAUAUCACUCAGAACACCGAUUGCGAAGGCAUCUGACGAAUCCGUCACUGACGCUGAGGCACGAAAGCGUGGGGAUAGAACAGGAUUAGAUACCUUGGUAUUCCACGCCGUAAACGAUGAUGACUAACCGUCGGCGAUAGACAGCCGGUGGCCAAGCGAAAGCGAUAAGUCAUCCACCUGGGGAGUACGUCGGCAACGAUGAAACUCAAAUGAAUUGACGGGG
Molecule: ribosomal RNA, 393 nt
Filed under: uncultured bacterium
Lineage: Bacteria
Description: partial 16S ribosomal RNA
Rfam family: Bacterial small subunit ribosomal RNA
Source: RNAcentral